UACGUAGGGACCAAGCGUUGUUCGGAUUUACUGGGCGUAAAGCGCGUGUAGGCGGCUUCGUAAGUUGGAUGUGAAAUCCCACGGCUCAACCGUGGACGUGCAUCCAAAACUACGUCGCUGGAGUCUCGGAGAGGAAGGUGGAAUGCUUGGUGUAGAGGUGAAAUUCGUAGAUAUCAAGCAGAACACCUGCGGCGAAGGCGGCCUUCUGGACGAUGACUGACGCUGAGACGCGAAAGCGUGGGGAGCAAACAGG
This 253-nucleotide ribosomal RNA is filed under the name uncultured bacterium. RNAcentral describes it as "partial 16S ribosomal RNA". It matches the Rfam family "Bacterial small subunit ribosomal RNA", at positions 524 to 776 of the family's 1533-position model. The record is from RNAcentral.